This 212-nucleotide long non-coding RNA is filed under the name Zostera marina. RNAcentral describes it as "long non-coding RNA (ZMAR_LNC004753)". The record is from RNAcentral. Lineage: Eukaryota; Viridiplantae; Streptophyta; Magnoliopsida; Alismatales; Zosteraceae.
AAAAAUGAGAGGAGAGCAAGGAGAUUGAUGAGAAGGCACACCAGGAAUCUUAGAAGAAUGAGGGAGCUGAGGAAGCAGAAUAUGGAUGUGGAGGCCCUGGAAUAUUUUGGUGAUGUGGAAGAUGUAUAUUCUUCCUCUGAUUCUGAGUAUGAAAGACCUCCUCCUGUGUGGAAUAUCAAUUUCCCUGAAGACAGUGAUGGUGAAGAUGGAGG